GGCAAUAGCUCAGUGGGAAGAGCUUUGAUCUGGUAAUCAAAAGGUUGCAGGUUCA
This 55-nucleotide transfer RNA is filed under the name Chattonella subsalsa. RNAcentral's name for it is "partial tRNA". The record is from RNAcentral. Lineage: Eukaryota; Raphidophyceae; Chattonellales; Chattonellaceae.